This 1752-nucleotide ribosomal RNA is filed under the name Triticum aestivum (bread wheat). Its description in RNAcentral is "partial small subunit ribosomal RNA". Lineage: Eukaryota; Viridiplantae; Streptophyta; Magnoliopsida; Poales; Poaceae. The record is from RNAcentral.
AUGAAAAUACAUUUGGAGAAAGAGCAUUCCGUAACUUGUAUGAAGAAACCUGGAGCUCAUCCACCAAACCCUUCAAGCACGGGUGAUGAUACUUGUAAUGUGACGUCGGUUGAAGUUGGUAAUUCGUCCAACGGAAAAAGAAAGAGAACAAAUGAGGAUCCAACACAAACCACCGCAGCUAACUUACACACCCAAUGGGACAAGACUGAGUUAUCCAAUAGGAUAAUUAAAAUUACUGGCCAGUUACAGUUACAGGACAUCCAAGGGGCUUUGAGUAAAGUUCUUGAGCCAUAUGGACCUUGCGCUACUUCAAGUUCAAGUCAUCACCGCCCGAGUACAGCCUCAGCUCAGCACCCAACAACAUCAAUUCUUGUUCCAAUGGAAGUUUAUGGCAGAGUUGCAGAAAAGAACAAGAUCAAAAAGUCAAUAACUGAAAACCAAUCUGGUGGUGUAAAUGUUCUGCCUAUUGUAGGCAUUGCAAGUGUUGGAAAGACAACUCUCGCCCAAUUUGUGUAUAAUGAUCCAGACGUGAAAAGUCAAUUUCACCACAGGAUAUGGGUUUGUGUGUCCUGCAAAUUUGACGAAGUGAAGCUCACAAAGGAGAUGUUAAACUUUUUUCCUCGAGAAAGGCAUGAAGGAAUUAGCAACUUUUCAAAGCUUCAAGAGAUCUUGAAAGGACAUAUUGAGUACCAAACAAAGAGUUUUCUGCUUGUUUUAGAUGAUGUCUCGGACAAUAUGGAUUAUCAUAAAUGGAACAAAUUGGUGUACCCUUUGAUAUCAAGUCAAGUGAAGGGUAAUUUAAUUCUAGUCACAACCAGAAAUUUGUCCGUCUCACAAAGGUUAGGCACACUCAAACCGAUCAACUUAGGUGCUUUGGAAAACGAUGAUAUGUGGUUAUUGCUCAAGUCAUGUGCAUUUGGCUUUGGGAACUAUGAAGGUACGGAAAAUCUAAGCACUAUUGGAAAACAAAUAGCAAAGAAGUUAAAGAGCAACCCGUUAGCAGCAGUAACUGCAGGGGCACUGUUAAGAGAUAAUCUUAGCAUUGAUCAUUGGAGUAACAUUCUCAAGAAUGAGAAGUGGAAAUCGUUGGGACUCAGUGGGGGCAUCAUGUCUGCUUUGAAGCUUAGCUAUGAUGAGCUGCCCUACCAUUUACAACAAUGUGUCUCAUAUUGUUCUAUAUUUCCUGACAAAUAUAGGUUUAUUGGGAAGGAUGUGGUCUAUAUUUGGAUUUCUCAGGGAUUUUUGAAUUACACCCAUUCAAGUAAGAGAUUAGAGGAGAUAGGAUGGGAAUGUCUAAAUGAUUUGGUGAACCUGGGAUUCUUUCAGCAUGUUGCAGAGGAAGAGGACGAGGAUGAGGAUGGGGAAGAGGAAGAAGAAGAGGAAGAGGAAGAGGAAGAAGAAUCUUUUUUAGGCAGUAAAAUUUGGUAUUCUAUGUCUGGUAUUAUGCACGAUUUUGCAAGGAUGGUUUCAAGGACCGAGUGUACAACCAUGGAUGGUCUACAGUGUAAUAAUAUGCUACCAACUAUAUGUCAUUUGUCAAUUGUGACCAAUUCUGCAUAUAGGAAAGAUCAACAUGGAACCAUACCUCGCAAUAUCAAGUUUGAAGAAAAUCUGAGAAAUACAAUUGCUUCAGUGACGAAACUGAGGACAUUAGUUUUACUUGGGCACUAUGACUCUUUCUUAUUUAAAUUGUUCCUUGAUAUAUUCCAAAAGGACCAGAACUUGCGUCUGCUGCAAAUGUCUGCAAGCUGA